This 253-nucleotide ribosomal RNA is filed under the name uncultured bacterium. RNAcentral's name for it is "partial 16S ribosomal RNA". It matches the Rfam family "Bacterial small subunit ribosomal RNA", at positions 524 to 776 of the family's 1533-position model. The record is from RNAcentral.
UACGUAGGGACCGAGCGUUGUCCGGAAUUACUGGGCGUAAAGAGCUCGUAGGUGGUUUGUCGCGUUGUUCGUGAAAACUCACAGCUCAACUGUGGGCGUGCGGGCGAUACGGGCAGACUAGAGUACUGCAGGGGAGACUGGAAUUCCUGGUGUAGCGGUGGAAUGCGCAGAUAUCAGGAGGAACACCGGUGGCGAAGGCGGGUCUCUGGGCAGUAACUGACGCUGAGGAGCGAAAGCGUGGGGAGCGAACAGG